AAGAGAAAUUAUAGGCACAUAAAUUGAAGGUAUACCGAAAACAGGAGUUAGGCAAUAUGCUCCAAGUAGAAUACAAUCAGAAAUUGAAGUAAAUAAGAAAACCUAUAGAUAUAAAUUAUAGGUUACAUAGAAGGACAAAUUAGACAGAAUAAUAAGGUUGCAAGAAAAGGAGAACUUAAAUUAAUAAGGUUUGCUUAAGGGGACAUUCCAGGCACCCAGACCACUUCUACCCAUUGGAGUGGUCUGGGUGCCAUCUCCC
Non-coding RNA from Pelobates cultripes (western spadefoot toad), 259 nucleotides. Lineage: Eukaryota; Metazoa; Chordata; Amphibia; Anura; Pelobatidae. The record is from the annotation of a GenBank genome assembly.